AGUGGCGGACGGGUGAGUAACGCGUGAACAAUCUGUCCUGCAAAGGGGGAUACUAACUGGAAACAGUUGCUAAUACCGCAUAGGACCACGGAUUCGCAUGGAUCUGCGGUGAAAGCAGCGAUGCGAUGCAGGGUGAGUUCGCGUCCGAUUAGGCAGUUGGUGAGGUAACGGCCCACCAAACGGACGAUCGGUAGCCGACCUGAGAGGGUGAUCGGCCACAUUGGGACUGAGACACGGCCCAGACUCCUACGGGAGGCAGCAGUGGGGAAUAUUGGGCAAUGGGCGAAAGCCUGACCCAGCAACGCCGCGUGAGGGAAGAAGGUUUUCGGAUUGUAAACCUCUGUCCUUGGUGACGAAUAGAUGACGGUAGCCAAGGAGGAAGCCCCGGCUAACUACGUGCCAGCAGCCGCGGUAAUACGUAGGGGGCGAGCGUUGUCCGGAAUGACUGGGCGUAAAGGGCGUGUAGGCGGCGCUGUAAGUCCGGAGUGAAAGUCCUGCUUUCAAGGUGGGAAUUGCUUUGGAGACUGCAGAGCUUGAGUACGGAAGAGGUAAGUGGAAUUCCCGGUGUAACGGUGAAAUGCGUAGAGAUCGGGAGGAACACCAGUGGCGAAGGCGACUUACUGGGCCGUAACUGACGCUGAGGCGCGAAAGCGUGGGGAGCGAACAGGAUUAGAUACCCUGGUAGUCCACGCGGUAAACGAUGAAUGCUAGGUGUAGGGGGUAUCGACCCCUCCUGCGCCGGGAGUCAAACACAAUAAGCAUUCCCCCUGGGGAGUACGGGCCGCAAGGUUGAAAUUCAAAGGAAUUGACGGGGGCCCGCACAAGCAGCGGAGCAUGUGGUUUAAUUAGACGCAACGCGAAGAACCUUACCAGGUCUUGACAUUGAUGCAAGCUUGUAGAGAUACAAGGUGACUUCGGUCAGCUGAAAACAGGUGGUGCAUGGUUGUCGUCAGCUCGUGUCGUGAGAUGUUGGGUUAAGUCCCGCAACGAGCGCAACCCUUAUUGUCAGUUACUAACAGGCAAUGCUGAGGACUCUGACGAGACCGCCGGGGACAACUCGGAGGAAGGUGGGGACGACGUCAAAUCAUCAUGCCCCUUAUGACCUGGGCUACACACGUGCUACAAUGGUGACUACAAAGAGCAGCGAAACCGUAAGGUCAAGCGAAUCUCACAAAAGUCAUCUCAGUUCGGAAUGUGGGCUGCAACCCGCCCACACGAAGUUGGAGUUGCUAGUAAUCGCGAAUCAGCAUGUCGCG
This 1256-nucleotide ribosomal RNA is filed under the name uncultured bacterium. RNAcentral's name for it is "bacterial SSU rRNA". It matches the Rfam family "Bacterial small subunit ribosomal RNA", at positions 94 to 1361 of the family's 1533-position model. The record is from RNAcentral.